UCCUACGGGGCGUAGCAGUAGGGAAUCUUCCACAACGGACGAGAGUCUGAUGGAGCAACGCCGCGUGAGUGAAGAAGGGUUUCGGCUCGUAAAGCUCUGUUGGUAGGGAAGAAAGAUAGAGGGAGUAACUGGCCUUUAUUUGACGGUAAUUACUUAGAAAGUCACGGCUAACUACGUGCCAGCAGCCGCGGGAAUACGUAGGGGGCAAGCGUUGUCCGGAUUUAUUGGGCGGAAAGCGAGGGCAGGGGG
This 249-nucleotide ribosomal RNA is filed under the name uncultured bacterium. RNAcentral's name for it is "partial 16S ribosomal RNA". It matches the Rfam family "Bacterial small subunit ribosomal RNA", at positions 337 to 578 of the family's 1533-position model. The record is from RNAcentral.